GACGAACGCUGGCGGCGUGCCUAAUACAUGCAAGUCGACCUUAGUGGCGAACGGGUGAGUAACACGUGGGUAACCUGCCCAUCAGAAGGGGAUAACAAUUGGAAACAGGUGCUAAUACCGUAUACUGAUGGAUGGACCCGCGGUGCAUUAGCUAGUUGGUGAGGUAACGGCUCACCAAGGCCACGAUGCAUAGCCGACCUGAUAGGUGGAUAGGCCACAUGGGGACUGAGACACGGCCCAAACUCUUCCUGGAGGCAGCAGGAGGGAAUCUUCGGCAAUGGACGAAAGUCUGACCGAGCAACGCCGCGUGAGUGAAGAAGGUUUUCGGAUCGUAAAACUCUGUUGUUGAGAAGCGGUAUCUACCCAGAAAGCCACGGCUAACUACGUGCCAGCAGCCGCGGUAAUUC
RNAcentral lists this ribosomal RNA (407 nucleotides) under uncultured bacterium. Its description in RNAcentral is "partial 16S ribosomal RNA". It matches the Rfam family "Bacterial small subunit ribosomal RNA", at positions 28 to 526 of the family's 1533-position model. The record is from RNAcentral.